This 250-nucleotide unclassified non-coding RNA is filed under the name Hevea brasiliensis (rubber tree). Lineage: Eukaryota; Viridiplantae; Streptophyta; Magnoliopsida; Malpighiales; Euphorbiaceae. The record is from RNAcentral.
GCCGCUGACAUACAUCACAAGAACGCACAAAAUCCCUUACGAAAUUUUUCAUCCCCUGCCAAUAGAAAUCUCUAGUGAUUCUGUAUAAUGUCUUCUGGUAACCUUCAUGACUUUGGUUGUGAAGAGCACUAACAACCAGCUGAAUUGAUGGGGAAUUGGGAGGCAGGUAAACUCUGUUAUUGUAGAAGAGUAACCCAUCCCGAAAAACCCAUUUUGAAGCGACUGUUCCAUUGGUAAUUGCAGAGAUUUG